GAUCCCUUUCUCAGGUUGUUGGCACGACGAUUACAGGAUCAGACUGACAACACACACCCACACGCUGCGCAUUAUUACUCUGACAGAGAAAAAGCGGCCAAGUUCCGACAGCUACCCGAACGCGCGAUACAGCUCUUAUUUGUAUAACAGCGCUAUAUGUUCUCAUAUAAGUGCGAGUUUAUACAUUGAGUGGACCUUACCAUCUCCCGGGAUUCAAUGUUAUGUUCUAUGCGUGGCCAUUCGCUGGAGUAGAACGGGGGUUUUGGAAACAGCUCUGCCGCGUUGGUUAUUGCGCCCCCAGCUAUAACUGUGGACCUGCCCUAUGGAAUUUCUUCAUAUUUUCAGACAGCGGCUUUGGGAGGUACUGUUUGACUUGAAAAUGAUGGUUGGAUCAGUUGGCCAUUGUUCUGCAGGAUAGCUAGAGUAGGACUAAAGCCUCAGCCCGCAGCCUAGGGGCAUUAAAAAAGAGCUCCCUGUCAAUCUCAAAAGGGAAGUCAGAAUUGCAUCGUUCACGGCAACGGUAUCCUGUGGAGAGGAAGGAAACGCGUGACUAUGACGUAAGGUAAAAACGUGAUGAGCUGGCCAAUGGGAGGCAGAAGGGGGCGUGGUCUGCUGAGCGGAAGAACCUGUCCGGUCCCAGAAUGCCCCGGUUUCUAAGACCAAGGGGGCUUCUUUUCCUCGUCUUGUGACCAGGUGUUUUGUUUGGCAAAUUGUUUUGCUAGCGCUUCCAACACCGUUCACCUUAUUGUUAUUAAUCAGAUUUUUGUUUGUUUAAGUAUUUUUCCUUUGUAAUGUUAAUACGUUGUUUUUCAGUUUUAAAGAAAACAGUUGUGUAUCUCCACUGUGCUGUGUCUGUGACCGACUGUAACAUACGGCCUCAAAAUGAUCACAGAACUGAAUCAACACCUCUGUGACCCAGUGUCAAGAAAAACUGUACACUGUGAGUUUUAAAAAUCUGAUAUCUGUAGCAGGGCCACCAUUCAGAAACCACUUGUAUCCCUGGCAAAUGCACAAAGAUGCACAACUUGGUGUACAAGGAGCAGAAAACCCAACCUAGACCCUUUAGAAAAUAAAAAAGUAAUACACUCUCCCAUCAUAAGGUCCCCAUAUUCCAAGAUGAUGAUGUGCUAUUAGGAAGAGGAGGAGCCCUAGUCCCCUGUUGGUUUCUCUUCCUUUCUUUCUAUUAAAAUUGCUGGGGACCCAAGUGGAGGGGUUGAAAGUGUGUAUGCCCACAGUGGUGAUCUAUUCCAAUCAAUUUGCCCAGACAAACCUGUGCAAAUGAAUUAAUUUUGUUUUGGAGAGACCGAUCGCAAGGACACGGAAGCACUAUGCUCUUUUGAAGAGAUUCUCCAUUUUUUGACUUUCGUGUUUUUUUUGGAGUCCAGCCUUGUUGUUCUUUCCAUAAAACAACAUGCAAAAACAAAACCUGAAGGAAUCAAAACAAUCCCAGCCAGCCAGCGGAGAGCAAAGACUGGAAAGAGCAGGGCUGACUUUUACAGAGGCGUGUGGUAUACUCCGGAAAGCCCACUUCCACAGUUUGGUUCCAGCUAUCUAUUUCCUAUCCUGUCCUCUUCUCUCCUCUCUGUUUGUAAUUAGGGCACUUCAGGUUAGAGCCCCAUACACACCGCUAAAUAGAUUUGUGAGUGGUUUCAUGAACAACCAUGAUGAUGUUAAACGCUUUCAUAGCCUUCACAGUCACCAGAUCUAAACAUCUAGAUUUCCACCUCUUGCACCCCUCAAAUGGCUGGUUGGUUUUCUUUGCUGGGUCCCAGAAAAAUAUCAGCCAGACAGAGGAUGCACAACCCAGUUCAAUAGUACACACGGUUUUGUUUUAUAUACACACGGAAGGCAGUGAAUCAUCAUACUGUCUCAUCAAACAUUCAGUUAAAUGUCCUUAACUCUACUUAAUAUGGUUCCUAUGAAUUUUUAAUAAGACAAAUAUGUCAGUGCUCGUUGCAUAUGGCCACUGAUAAAAACUGCUUGGAUGGAUGACUAAGCAUAUUUUGCAUGCUUUUAUCAUUAAUAUGGCUCACACACUCGACUUGUUCAUAACUUGCCCAAGCUCUGGCCUACUUAUCUAUGCCUUACACACUUCAAAGACAUCAACACUCUGCUGUACCAAAACACACUCCAAUCCACUAAUGCACACUUAUUAUAACCUAUAACCAAUUGCUUGUUUUUACGAUUAAUCAUUACCGUCUUGAAGAAUGGUCCAGAAUCCGACUACGCGCAGAUAACUUUAAAAAACUUAAUUCCAAACACUGAACCUGUUCUGAAGGCAAAGGGUGGCCCUACUCCUUAUUAGGUGUUUCCUAACGUUGGGAUGAGAGGUUAAAAUCGACCCUUAUCUCAUAAUAGAGAGGCAAUCAAGUCAGGAAAACACUUGAUCCACUUGUAAGGGUCUUUAUUUCAGCGGAAAGAGUACGCCUGCCAACAGAGUCAACUCUUUGCUGAAAAGCGUUUCUUACAGUGAUCACUUGUGCCCUCUAAGAGGGACUGUGUGUGCCAGCAUCAAGGACAACAGAAAGGAACCGAACAGAACACAACAGAAACUUGUUCUCUUAGCCCCUUUCUGUCCUGGUUUUGGCUGAAAGCUCAUUGCUGUAACAUCAUGACUGGUGAGAUAUACUGGCAUCCAGUUCAGAUGAUCACAGAGGUGUGAAAAAGUACUCACCCCUUUCCUGAUUUUCUCUAUUAUUGCAUAUUUGUCACACUGAAUGGUAUCAGAUCAUUUGGCAAACUGUAAUAUUAGACAAAGGGAACCUGAGUAAACUCAAAACACAUUUUGAAAUUAAUAUCUCAUUUAUUUACUGAAAAAAGUUAUCAAGGACCCAAACCCCGUGUGAAAAAGCAAUUUCCCCCUUGGGACCCAACUUUACAUGGGCUGAUCUUGAUAGGCGGGUAUGGUUGUCCCCCCCUCAUGACUGCACAGGCUCUCCAUCCCUGUCCUAGUAGCUAUGCAGCCAUAUAUUACUCCUGGCGGGGUCCCCCCAAUUCAUACUGCUGCCACUUUACCCACUGUCUGUUCUAUCACAAAUUCCCUAACCGCCAUUUCUACCCUCUUCCCCACGCUGCCGGCGGGGCUCUUGCCCCAAUCUUUGAGAGUGCUUCGAGAGUCGUCUGGUCUCCCCCACCACUGCCACCCAGCCCCACCCAUCAUCGGAGCCACAUUAUAUACCUUGAGCUGACCAGAGGAGGAUGGGUUUCCUCCUUGAGCCUGGUUCCUUCCGAGGUUUCUUCCCAUCUGCCACAGGGAGUU
Molecule: long non-coding RNA, 3259 nt
Organism: Anguilla anguilla (European eel)
Lineage: Eukaryota; Metazoa; Chordata; Actinopteri; Anguilliformes; Anguillidae
Exons: 4
Source: RefSeq, a predicted model, not a curated record